AUGUGUGAAGAGAGAGAAGGGUGGACAGAGAGGAAACAGGUUGAGAGGAAAGUUUAUGUGGGUGUUAGGGGGUAUCAUCGGCGGCAGGCAAAGUUGAAGUUGGAGAGGAAAAGGGAGAUUCAGACGGAUAAUGCUGAAGUUUAUAACAUGUUAUCUUCCAAAGAUGAGGCUCCGGGUCAAUAUUGGCAGCCGAUAAGCAGAAUUAGAGAGUUUCUUGCAACUCGAUGA
Molecule: non-coding RNA, 228 nt
Organism: Vicia faba (fava bean)
Lineage: Eukaryota; Viridiplantae; Streptophyta; Magnoliopsida; Fabales; Fabaceae
Source: the annotation of a GenBank genome assembly